Molecule: transfer RNA, 72 nt
Filed under: Fukomys damarensis (Damara mole-rat)
Lineage: Eukaryota; Metazoa; Chordata; Mammalia; Rodentia; Bathyergidae
Rfam family: tRNA
About the family: Transfer RNA (tRNA) molecules are approximately 80 nucleotides in length. Their secondary structure includes four short double-helical elements and three loops (D, anti-codon, and T loops). Further hydrogen bonds mediate the characteristic L-shaped molecular structure. tRNAs have two regions of fundamental functional importance: the anti-codon, which is responsible for specific mRNA codon recognition, and the 3' end, to which the tRNAs corresponding amino acid is attached (by aminoacyl-tRNA synthetases). tRNAs cope with the degeneracy of the genetic code in two manners: having more than one tRNA (with a specific anti-codon) for a particular amino acid; and 'wobble' base-pairing, i.e. permitting non-standard base-pairing at the 3rd anti-codon position.
Source: Rfam by way of RNAcentral
GGAUAUGUAGCUUAGUGGUCGAGCACUUGGCUGGCAUGCAUGAUACCCUGUGUUUAAUCCUCAGCACAACCA